ACAGUGCGAUAAGGGGACUCCGAGUGCGAGGGCAUACAGUCCUCGCUUUUCUGUACCGUAGGGUGGUACAGGAACAAGUGCUGGGCAAGACCGGUGCCAGCCGCCGCGGUAAUACCGGCAGCACGAGUGAUGGCCGAUAUUAUUGGGCCUAAAGCGUCCGUAGCUGGCCGGACAAGUCCGUUGGGAAAUCCACCCGCUUAACGGGUGGGCGUCCAGCGGAAACUGUCCGGCUUGGAGCCGGAAGACCUGAGGGGUACGUCCGGGGUAGGAGUGAAAUCCCGUAAUCCUGGACGGACCGCCGGUGGCGAAAGCGCCUCAGGAGGACGGACUCGACAGUGAGGGACGAAAGCCAGGGUCUCGAACCGGAUUAGAUACCCGGGUAGUCCUGGCCGUAAACGAUGUCCGCUAGGUGUGGCGCAGGCUACGAGCCUGCGCUGUGCCGUAGGGAAGCCGUGAAGCGGACCGCCUGGGAAGUACGUCUGCAAGGAUGAAACUUAAAGGAAUUGGCGGGGGAGCACUACAACCGGAGGAGCCUGCGGUUUAAUUGGACUCAACGCCGGACAUCUCACCAGCACCGACAGUGUGCAGUGAAGGUCAGGUUGAUGACCUUAUUGGAGCCACUGAGAGGAGGUGCAUGGCCGCCGUCAGCUCGUACCGUGAGGCGUCCUGUUAAGUCAGGCAACGAGCGAGACCCGCACUCCUAGUUGCCAGCAACACCUUGCGGUGGUUGGGUACACUAGGAGGACUGCCGUGGCUAACACGGAGGAAGGAACGGGCAACGGUAGGUCAGUAUGCCCCGAAUGUGCUGGGCAACACGCGGGCUACAAUGGCCGGGACAGUGGGACGCCAAUCCGAGAGGAUGCGCUAAUCCCCUAAACCCGGUCGUAGUUCGGAUUGAGGGCUGAAACUCGCCCUCAUGAAGCUGGAUUCGGUAGUA
This 937-nucleotide ribosomal RNA is filed under the name uncultured Halobacteria archaeon. Its description in RNAcentral is "bacterial SSU rRNA". It matches the Rfam family "Archaeal small subunit ribosomal RNA", at positions 362 to 1296 of the family's 1478-position model. The record is from RNAcentral. Lineage: Archaea; Methanobacteriati; Methanobacteriota; Halobacteria.